This is a long non-coding RNA of Choloepus didactylus (southern two-toed sloth), 223 nucleotides long. RefSeq lists it as uncharacterized. The transcript has 3 exons. Lineage: Eukaryota; Metazoa; Chordata; Mammalia; Pilosa; Megalonychidae. The record is from RefSeq and is a predicted model, not a curated record.
UUCGGACUCCGGUGGGAGCUCAGCCUCAUCCAGUAGCCGGUAACAAAAAGUACAGAAAUAGUGGUUCAUCUUCACUCAGCACCUCCCAACCAAGAACCUGGUCCAUUCCAAAGAAGUAAGAAUUCCUAUAUCAAACUCUCCUUCAAAGAACUUGGCCAGACUGAAGAGGAAGAGUCAAAGAAGGUAGAGAGACAAAAGCAAAAGAAGAAAGAAAAAAAAUGAC